Molecule: ribosomal RNA, 275 nt
Filed under: uncultured bacterium
Lineage: Bacteria
Description: partial 16S ribosomal RNA
Rfam family: Bacterial small subunit ribosomal RNA
Source: RNAcentral
CCUACGGGGGGCUGCAGUGGGGAAUAUUGCACAAUGGGCGAAAGCCUGAUGCAGCAACGCCGCGUGAGCGAUGAAGGCCUUCGGGUCGUAAAGCUCUGUCCUCAAGGAAGAAUUUUGACGGUACUUGAGGAGGAAGCCCCGGCUAACUACGUGCCAGCAGCCGCGGUAAUACGUAGGGGGCUAGCGUUAUCCGGAAUUACUGGGCGUAAAGGGUGCGUAGGUGGUCUGACAAGUCAGGGGUGAAAGGCUACGGCUCAACCGUAGUAAGCCCUUGA